This 253-nucleotide ribosomal RNA is filed under the name uncultured bacterium. Its description in RNAcentral is "partial 16S ribosomal RNA". It matches the Rfam family "Bacterial small subunit ribosomal RNA", at positions 524 to 776 of the family's 1533-position model. The record is from RNAcentral.
UACAGAGGUCUCAAGCGUUGUUCGGAUUCAUUGGGCGUAAAGGGUGCGUAGGCGGCGCGGUAAUUCGGUUGUGAAAUCUUGGAGCUUAACUCCGAAACUGCAUUCGAUACUGCCGUGCUUGAGGACUGGAGAGGAGACUGGAAUUUACGGUGUAGCGGUGAAAUGCGUAGAUAUCGUAAGGAAGACCAGUGGCGAAGGCGGGUCUCUGGACAGUGCCUGACGCUGAGGCACGAAGGUCAGGGGAGCAAACGGG